Molecule: long non-coding RNA, 646 nt
Organism: Homo sapiens (human)
Lineage: Eukaryota; Metazoa; Chordata; Mammalia; Primates; Hominidae
Gene: ANO1-AS1
Product: ANO1 antisense RNA 1
Source: Ensembl
CUGAAACAGGUAGGUGACACCUUUUGGAACCGGAAUCAAUCAUUAUUCUUGCGUGGGUUUUCCAUUUUCCCUGAAGCAUCGCACCAGCUUUUGCGCGAUGCCUCGGCUUACCAUUUUGCAUCUAUCUUAAGGAAUUAGGAGGAUUCAGAGGAGGGUUUCUACGGGCCUCUGCUCACUUUUCACCUCUAGGGAGACUCAAGUUUCCAAGCAUUCUUUCUGCAAAGCACCUGCCUUUGCUACCUUAUUGCCGUAUUACCAGCCAUCAUUUUGAUUCAUCUUGAAUACUACAGAUUAAAAAAUAUUCCCUGCAUAAUGGCUUUGUGCAAAAACAAGGGAAAGAAAACAGAAAGAAGAAAGGAAAAUGUCCUAUCAGAAAGUGGUCCUCCAUGUUUGCAGAAAACCCAGGACCCACCGGGCCCUGGUGGGAGCGGGAAGCCGCCUGCCCUGGGAGAGGGUGCCCAUCGGUCAGGAUGCCCGGCUGUCUGGGCAGGCUUUGGUGUUGUGGUGGUUGCACGGCGGCUCGUCCUUCUGCCGCUCCUUCUCCAUCCAGGUUUCCAGCAGCUGCUGCUUGUCUUGCUCCUCCCGCAUGAACAGCUCCACCAUGAGCACCUUCUCCUUGUGGAUCUGCUGGCUGAUGUCCUUGGGG